This is a long non-coding RNA of Corvus hawaiiensis (hawaiian crow), 1594 nucleotides long. RefSeq lists it as uncharacterized. The record is from RefSeq and is a predicted model, not a curated record. The transcript has 3 exons. NCBI's taxonomy places the organism in Eukaryota, Metazoa, Chordata, Aves, Passeriformes, Corvidae.
UCAUGCAGCUGUCUUCCCUGCCUUGUGUGUGUGCAGUGUAUAAAUACAUACAUUACAUUUAGCCUAUUCCUUGUGUUUCUACUUUCCAGAGAGCAACAACUACCUGUGGCACUGGAGACCCAAAGUGCAGCUGAGAACCAGCUGCUCUAAUAACUCAUCUGCACAAUCCUACACAACACAGCCCUGGAGGGAGUGAACCAGCAUGCCCAGAAGAAGCACUACAUCCAAGAACCCAAAGGAGAAUUGCUGCAGAGACAGAUGAAGUGACAUGAUUCAGGUCACCCAAGGGCUGUGUCUAAGAAAGGAGCUGAACCUGGGGUGCUCCCAGCAGGGACUGAGUACAGUGUAGGCUCUGGAUGUACCUGGAUGCCAUUAAAGGACAAGGAUUUCAUAGCUGGAAAGGGACCCACUGUCAUGUGCACAGCUUACUGGGAAAGGCACAGCAUGCCCACAGCUGGGCAGGAUGUGCAGCUGAUUUCUUCAUUUGCCUUUUUGGUUCCUAUUCUCAUGUUGAUACAUAUCAGUCCAGCACUGUGAAAUUGACUUUUCUUUUUUUGCUACUCCCAGAAAUACCAUUUUGCAAUGAUUUUUCCAUUUCUAGAGUGGGUCAGGUUGUCAUGGUCAGUGUCCCUGUUGUGGUGUCUAAGCAGAUUAGGGAGGUGGCACAGGGCUGCAGCAGAAUGGCAUAGCCAGAGCUCUGCCACCGGCACCAGAAACUUUGAGGGCGUUCCCCAGAAGGCUCCUCAGGGGGUAGGAACCCAAGCAGAUUCUUAAGUAAAUGUUCCCAUAAGAAACUCUUCUAGAAAAGCUGAAACUGAACUUGAACCAAAAGUGUAGGAGACGACCACAGGAUGCUAGAAUGGUUUAGGCUUGAAGGGACCUUAAAGACCAUCUAGUUCACCCCCCUACCACGAGCAGGCACACCUGCCACUACACCAGCUUACUCAAACACUUGACCUUGCUUCAAACACUGUUAGAAGAAACUCUCUUUGGCCAAAAUCUAGCUAUAUUCCUGCACUCCAGUAAGCCUGGCUGCUGUCUCCCUCCUGGAGAUGACUUAAUUCUACAAGGUUCCUCAGCCCAGGCUCUCUAUGCCUCAAAAGCAAUUGUUUGUGCUGUAGCUGGGAAAUGUGUAUCAUCACAGUUGUCUUUUUUUCCACUGCAGAGUAAUUAAUCGAUAUUUCUCAUGGAGGGCAGUCAAUUCUCAUUACUCUGGGCUUUCACAAAGCUGGUUUGUUUGGGUUUUUUCACACAAGUGGAAUAUCCAAGAGACACUUCAUGCUAAGGCUGAAGUCUCGGUGUCACAGUCAAUCUCUUUGGGCUGUGAGAGUGUGAAGGCAGCACUCAGAGGCAAAUUGAAGGCAAAUUUUAUGUCGAGGGAGGCAGCCACAGCUUCAGAACUCUCUGCUGGUGUAAAAUUAAUGGAGGUAUUACUGCAAACUUUUCCAUGCAGCUCUGUGUCAGCUGCUGUGGGCCUGUGAGACAGUGCCAAGGGCUGGGGCAGGGGCAUGGCGGAGUAGAGGCUGCAAGGCACCAGCUUUUUGUUAAUGCAAGAUGAUGGAACCCUGGAAUGGUUCGGGUUGGAAGGGACCUU